Molecule: long non-coding RNA, 1179 nt
Filed under: Homo sapiens (human)
Lineage: Eukaryota; Metazoa; Chordata; Mammalia; Primates; Hominidae
Description: HSALNT0207575
Source: RNAcentral
CGGCUGGGACAGGCUGCUGCAUCAGGCGGCCCUGGACCGCCGCUUCCGCCCCUAAGCCGCCCUCGCAGCCCAGGCGACCGGUCGCCCUACCCAGGGAGCAUCGCCCUCCUCAGCCGGGGCCCGAGCCCGGCGUGGGGGUUGCAGGCUGGCGCCACAGCCUGAGGACACCGCGACCUCUGCCCCCAGGAGCACGCCGAAUGCCAGGAAACUUUCCGGAAUGCGUCCAGGUGUUGAAGCGGGAAGGCUGGACACCCUCCCUUGGCGUUGCGGUUCCUUCCAGACGCCCCCUCUUCUUAGGCUGUUUUCAAGGGCAUGCCCGGCAACAUGUGCUCUACCCAAGAGCGCUUCACAGAUCUUCCUGUGGGUCUAAAACCAGAACGCUUUCUUCCCCGACCCCUGCUCCCGUAUCACCCCAACCUCAAGUCUUUUGGCACAGCCGGCUACAGACUCGAGUGUCAGUUUAAUGCUUGUUCCCUAAGGUCUCCCCAGGGCUCUUAGGACGGCGUCAGGAUUAGGAUUCGGGUUCGGGUGCGCCUCUUCGCGCCUGCGCCGGCGCUGGCAGGGGGAGGGCCUCUCUGCGCCUGCGCCGGCGCUGGGGGCCUUUGCAAGGGUGGAGCUGCGUUCUCUUCAGCACAGACCCGGAGAGCGUCGUGAUGGCGGAGCUUUCUCCUCUGCACAGGCUUCGGAGAUACAGCGAAGGUGGAGCAAUGUUCUCCUCAGCACAGACCUGGGCGGGUCGGGGGCACCGCGAGGGCGGAGCUGUGUUCUGCUCAGCACAGACCCCGGGGACACCGCGAAGGCAGAGCAAGGUUCUCCUCAGCACAGACCUUGAGGGCACUGCCUCGCUUUGGGACAACUCGGGGCCGCAUCGACGGUGAAUAAAAUCCUUCCUGUUUGCAGCCCUGAAUAAUCAGUGUCAGAGACCAGUUAGAAGGGUUCAGUGUGGAAAACGGGAAAUCAAAAGCCCCUCUGAAUCCUGCCCACCGAGGUUCUCCCCAGCCAAGGCGAGGUGGCCGCAGUGCGAGAUACAUACCGCAGCCUCGGAAGACAAAUGCAGCAUUCCUAAUGCAGACAUGACACCCCCAUUGCUCAUGUAACAAGCACCUGUAAUGCUAAUGCACUGCCUCAAUACAAAAAUAUUAAUAUAAGAUCCGCAAUCCCCUCACUGCUGUGCAGUCC